CCCCUCACCCCCCCACGCUCCCCUCUUUUCCAUCCUCCGCGCUGCCGGACCGGUGCACCGGGAUGGAACUGGAUCCGAAAGCAGCUAACUCACAAGCUGUGUUCCAGCACGAGGGAGGUUUCAUCACGUGACACGUGCGACCGGCCCGGUUCUGUAAUGUGGGGAAUUACACAUUUUUGUAACUGGGUGGUCAGGAAGUGCGUCUUAGCUGGAAGAAGUUUCCCAGACGGCCAGGUCUGUUUUUAGCGUAAUAAACAAAUUAGAUUUCUAUUUCAAAAUGAGACACUUUUAGUCCUGUUGGUCGGUCCUGUGUGUGUUAGUUUGUGCGUGUGUGUGUGUGUGUGUGUAAAACCCUUCUUCUUGGAUCAUCUGUCUGUGUGUGUUUGUGAUUAAUUGGGAUCAUCUUUGUUGUUUCCUUUUUGGAUUAAAUCCUUUUGUUUGAUUGUUGGUUUGUGAAACCAGUGACUCAUAUUUAAAUUCUUAUUUUUUCUCCUUAUUAUUUGUCACAGAUGUACUUAUUGUUAUUAUUGUGAUCAAGCAAAACCGAGCUGGAAGUCAUCUUGGGAGCAAUAAUGACAUUUCUCCCACGGAGGAGGAACACAAACUCAUUUUGGUGAAAUACGAGCAAAGAAAAUCGCCAAUGAGAUGGAAGACAAUAAAAACCGCACGUGAUGAAAAGCAACACGUGGAGCUACAGGCACGUGAGCCUGUCAGCGAGGCACAUUGUGCGCCGUGAUUUACACACAUGCUCCGCGGCUUGUUUUCAGCGCUGGCAGAAAAGACGUGUAAUUAUUGAGGCGAGCCCCAGAUGGAAACUGUCAUUCGGGUCUGACGUGUUUUGGCAAACGGGCCGAGAGGUGAGAGACGCGUUUGCUGCGUUCCACGAUGAACGGCUAAAAUAUAUUGCAAUUAGUCACACCUCCCCAAUCAAAGUUUAAGACCUCCGGUUCGUCUCUUCUGGGGUUACCUGCUGAAAGCUUUAUUAUUUAUCCAACACACCUAUACGUUUUUGUCUUUCGGGCACACCUGUGUUUGGUUUGGAGAAAAGAAAACGGAUUCCUGUGACUGACAGCUCGUGAGAAUUGAAUUGUCAUAUUCUUCGGAUGAACGCUUCACUGCGGAAAUGGAGGAUCUUGGUGCCUCAAUAACCAAUAACUCUGACUUUGGAGUGGAGGCGACCGUGGGUGGGGGUGGGUGGGGGUCACCGGGAGCUGAAGUGCACGUUGCAGGUACGCCGUCUCUGGCGUUUCGGCACAGGCCGCCCCCGCGAGCUGCCGACACGCCGGGGUUGGCGAGUCAUAUUUGCUGGCAGCGGGACAGCGGGAGACAGCUGGCUGACGGUGGCACUCAGCGAUGCAAACCUGCCCCGACACCUGCCUCCACCUGCCUCCACCUGUCUCCACCUGCCUCCACCUCAGGCCAUCGCCGCCCCGCCGCCGGGGGAGGAGCGCGCGUGUGCGUCCUGAAUAUUCCAGACUAAAUAAAAAUGCCUUCAUUUUAGAACAAUGGAGUAGACAAAAGACACAUGUGCUGAUCCAGAUGUGUUUAUCGCGGUGAAGCUGCGUCCUCUCGUUUCCAAUUCGCUCCUCAACAAUCUUUCACAAAAGGCCCUUCAGCUCUACUUGUACUCCGUGUUAUGUGUUUAUUUAUCCUUUUCACCCACGAGUGAUAACAAGUCACGGGUGUUCUGUCACGUGAGAGAAUCUCAGGGGCUUCGACUCGCUAACAUUCAUCCGUCUCACAAAGGGACUGAAAGGCGUCGCUGGCAGACAGACACAUUCGCCGCUUGCCACAUUGUUCCUUCUGUCCUAUUUUUAAAAAAUAGAUUAACUUAACUAAACGUUAAUGUAAGACUGCUAACAUGGUCACAUGCUCACCACAACAUGCAGAUGUUUACCAGCGGUGCCCCUUAAUGGACACUCUUUUAUUGAAUGUUCUCAUCCAGAACAACUGCUGAGCAAGGAGGUUGUGUGUGUGUGUGUGUGUGUGUGUGUGUGUGUGUGUGUGUGUGUGUGUGUGUGUGUGUGUGUGUGUGUGUGUGUGUGUGUGUGUGUGUGUGAAGUGAAGUUGAAGGUCACAUUGUUAAGGCAGAUAACCGAUAAAAACGAACCAAGUUGCACGACGGUCUGUAAUGUUGCCUUUUUCAAAAUACCAAGAAUGCAACAAAGAUGUGUUCAUCGUGUUUUAAUGAUGAGAAUAAUUCACAUGGAGACGUUAUUUCUACGCACAUUCCUUGAGCUUUUGUUCUUUUAAACCAAGUAGUGUGGUUGCCUGUCCAUCACUACCACCUGGUCAACCUCCUUCUGCACGGCUGAUCCUUUCACUU
Long non-coding RNA from Gasterosteus aculeatus aculeatus (three-spined stickleback), 2326 nucleotides. Lineage: Eukaryota; Metazoa; Chordata; Actinopteri; Perciformes; Gasterosteidae. The record is from Ensembl.